GGGGUAAACCUGCGAAACUCGAAUGAACGAACGGAGAGAUUCAUCGUCACUCCGCGGCGUACUCGCGCGCGCCUCGACGCCCGUCGGCCUCGGCCGGCGGGCGCGGGUCGCGCGAGUCGACGUCCGCGGACGGCGUGCACUUCUCUCUCAGUACAUACAUCGCGACCCGUUCGAUGUCGGCCUGAGCGCCGUCCGGGAGCCCCGCCGUCCCCUCGGGGGCGACGGGACCGCGACGGACGCCGGCCGGCCGUCGGACGGUAGUUUCCGAGGAACCGCGCACGCGUCUUCGACGCGUCCGGCUCGACGCAAGCCAACGCUGCUCUCCGGUGUGUAACGCCCGUGUGCGCGCGCCGGAGACGUGUAACUGUCGUCGCUGCCGUUGUCUCGGACUGUGCGCGUCUCUUGUCUGCGAUGAUUCAGUUUCGGGCACUCGCAGGACCCGUCUUGAAACACGGACCAAGGAGUCUAGCAUGUAUGCGAGUCAUUGAGAUUCAUAAACUGAAAGGCGCAACGAAAGUGAAGGCGUGCGCUUGUCGCGCGCUCAGGGAGGAUGGAGCGCCGGUCUAGGCCGGCCUCUCGCACUCCCGAGGCGUCUCGUUUCCAAUCCGUGAAUGCAGGCGCGCUC
Molecule: ribosomal RNA, 625 nt
Filed under: Platychasma virgo
Lineage: Eukaryota; Metazoa; Arthropoda; Insecta; Lepidoptera; Notodontidae
Description: eukaryotic LSU rRNA
Source: RNAcentral